CAGUAGCCGCGGUAAGACAGAGGAUGCAAGCGUUAUCCGGAAUGAUUGGGCGUAAAGCGUCUGUAGGUGGCUUUUUAAGUCCGCCGCCAAAUCCCAGGGCUCAACCCUGGACAGGCGGUGGAAACUACCAAGCUGGAGUACGGUAGGGGCAGGGGGAAUUUCCGGUGGAGCGGUGAAAUGCGUUGAGAUCGGAAAAAACACCAACGGCGAAAGCACUCUGCUGGGCCGACACUGACACUGAGAGACGAAAGCUAGGGGAGCAAAUGGGAUUAGAUACCCGCGUAGUCCCUGUCUCUUAUAC
Molecule: ribosomal RNA, 301 nt
Filed under: uncultured bacterium
Lineage: Bacteria
Description: partial 16S ribosomal RNA
Rfam family: Bacterial small subunit ribosomal RNA
Source: RNAcentral